GUUGACCUCGGAUCAAGUAGGGAUACCC
This 28-nucleotide ribosomal RNA is filed under the name Rhynchosporium graminicola. Its description in RNAcentral is "partial 28S ribosomal RNA". The record is from RNAcentral. Lineage: Eukaryota; Fungi; Ascomycota; Leotiomycetes; Helotiales; Ploettnerulaceae.